Molecule: long non-coding RNA, 751 nt
Organism: Parambassis ranga (Indian glassy fish)
Lineage: Eukaryota; Metazoa; Chordata; Actinopteri; Ambassidae
Source: Ensembl
CUCAGGAAUGGUAAUGGCUAGAGGCGUUCUGUUUUUUUCCUCGAAAAGAGGACACUUCAGGCUUGUGCGUUGUAAAUGGGCUGUUCUAUGGGCAGGUCAGUGUCCAAUCAAAACUAUCGAGCGAUAUCACAAGGGGCUCAAAUAUCCAAUUGUAGAGCCUUUGUGCUCUGACAUAGUGUAUCAAAGAUGUCUUCUGAAGACGAGGAGUAGCUCCCCUGACUAGCUGGAUCGUCGACACGUCUGAAAAGCGGCUCUGAAUGCAAUAAUGGGGCAUAGCGGACCGUUAUCUUAGUCGGAAUAACACACAGGAUAACCUGCAACCCAGCAAAGUCCUUGUAACCACUUUUAAAGAUAAGACAGAAGUUGCUAAAAACAUUUUCCAUGUUAACAGUGCCAAGGAUCUCAUUGAUCAAAGCCUAGCCCAGCAAACUGGCUGUGUGCUUGACAGGUUGUUAAAGUAUAAUACUGAUUUCAUGGAAUACAUUGAUGUUGACAUGAAUGAGGAGGAACUGAAGGAUUUGGAUAGAUAUCACAUCUUUCUAUCAACACAAGGGACCCAAGUUGAAUGUGUGGAGGCAAAUCAAAAUCAGGCUCAACCACACACUGAAGGUGCAGGCGGUCAAUGGGAGGUACGUGUCAUUAUGAUAAUGAGUGUUUACAGUCACACAAUCUUCACAAUUAGCAUUGACAUUUAUUUCUUUUAAAGACUGAACCUAGUGCUAGUGAAGCUUGUCAGAGUGGUCCACUGGAG